Molecule: long non-coding RNA, 288 nt
Filed under: Mytilus galloprovincialis (Mediterranean mussel)
Lineage: Eukaryota; Metazoa; Mollusca; Bivalvia; Mytilida; Mytilidae
Source: RNAcentral
AAAAUCCUAAAUACACCGUUUGGUGGUGCGCCUGUCAAAUGCGGAACGUACAGAUAAGGUAAUAGGUAACAGGUGAAUAUACUAUUGGUAUCGGUAUCGGAUUCAACCCGGAACUUGUUAAUUAUUGGCAAUAUUAAUUAUGUGGAAAACAAAAGGGUCUGGAGUGGUGUAAUUUUUAAUCUACACUAUUGUCCUAUAUUAGCUAUAUAAAGAGUUGAAUUCUUUGAUUUGUCGUUUUUACCCGAUGACGGCUGACAAAUUGGACCUCGUAAUUUUAGUAUUAUAGAU